UGGCUCAGUUGGUAGAGCAUGGUGUUUGCAAUGCCAGGGUUGUAGGUUCGAUUCCUAC
RNAcentral lists this transfer RNA (58 nucleotides) under Salmo salar (Atlantic salmon). It matches the Rfam family "tRNA", at positions 8 to 63 of the family's 71-position model. From Rfam's summary of the family: Transfer RNA (tRNA) molecules are approximately 80 nucleotides in length. Lineage: Eukaryota; Metazoa; Chordata; Actinopteri; Salmoniformes; Salmonidae. The record is from Rfam by way of RNAcentral.